RNAcentral lists this ribosomal RNA (546 nucleotides) under uncultured Glomus. RNAcentral describes it as "SSU rRNA". It matches the Rfam family "Eukaryotic small subunit ribosomal RNA", at positions 548 to 1098 of the family's 1831-position model. Lineage: Eukaryota; Fungi; Glomeromycota; Glomeromycetes; Glomerales; Glomeraceae. The record is from RNAcentral.
UUGGGCAAGUCUGGUGCCAGCAGCCGCGGUAAUUCCAGCUCCAAUAGCGUAUAUUAAAGUUGUUGCAGUUAAAAAGCUCGUAGUUGAAUUUCGGGGUCAGUAGGUUGGUCGUGCCACCGGUACGUACUGGUCUCACUGAUUCCUCCUUCCUGAUGAGCUGUAAUGCCAUUAAUUUGGUGUUGCAGGGAAUCUGGACUGUUACUUUGAAAAAAUUAGAGUGUUUAAAGCAGGCUAACGCUUGAAUACAUUAGCAUGGAAUAAUGAAAUAGGACGUUCGAUCCUAUUUUGUUGGUUUCUAGGAUUGACGUAAUGAUUAAUAGGGAUAGUUGGGGGCAUUAGUAUUCAAUUGUCAGAGGUGAAAUUCUUGGAUUUAUUGAAGACUAACUACUGCGAAAGCAUUUGCCAAGGAUGUUUUCAUUAAUCAAGAACGAAAGUUAGGGGAUCGAAGACGAUCAGAUACCGUCGUAGUCUUAACCAUAAACUAUGCCGACUAGGGAUCGGAUGAUGUUAAUUUUUUAAUGACUCAUUCGGCGCCUUACGGGAAAC